CUGGUCACUCCUUACCCUUCCCCCAAACUGCCCUUGAAAAACCCCUAUGCUAUGAGCUUUGAAUGAGAUGAUUUGAGUGGGAACUCCAUCUCCCACGUGGUGUGGCUGGCCUCGUGUCUACUAAAUGCUUUCUCUACUACAGUGCCAUGGGCUGUCUUUAUGCAGUGGGCAGGAAGAACCUCUCAGGCAGUUACAAUUGCAAAUCCACAAAUUAAUUAGACCCAGUGCUGUAACACACUAGAUACACGACUAUCAAGCUGAGAAGAAAGAGCCACUCUACGACAUUGAUUUAAAAAGUGACUUCAUGAGGACAAUGCUGAGAAAAUCAUCCUGGCAAGGGAAGAAGGUGGCCUGAUGUUUUAUAGCAGGUGACAGAUACUGAGUUCCCCAGUCUCCUGCACACAAAUUUGAGAUCGGCUUGAAUGACAGUGCUGAAUUCAGUGUUAGAGGUAGCCUCUAAAAGGGGCUCUCAUAAUCUCCACCUCCUGGAAUUCAUGCCUUUGUGUAAUACCUUGUCGAUCACUUGCAUCUGGAGAAAGCCACUGCCAUGACAUGAAGUAGCCCUGAAGUGACACCCAGAUGAGUAUGUUUAGAAAUAGAUCUUCUGUGGCCAGCCAACAGUGACGUGAGUGAGUUCAGAAGCAGAUCUUCACCUAGUUGAACCAUCUGAUGACAGCAGCCCCAAACAAGUUUGAUGGCUACUUUGUAAGACACAGACCCUAAGGUUGAAUCACCCAGAUAUAUCACUAUGAGAUUCCUGACUCACAGACAUGGUGAGGUAAUAAAUGCCUCUCGCCUGGGGUACUUUUUAAUGCAGCUAUAAAUAAUACAAUCAGGAUAAGAAGGGAUAAAGAUCGCCGGAAAAAAAUAAAAUGUGUCACAGACAAA
This is a long non-coding RNA of Symphalangus syndactylus (siamang), 888 nucleotides long. RefSeq lists it as uncharacterized. The record is from RefSeq and is a predicted model, not a curated record. Lineage: Eukaryota; Metazoa; Chordata; Mammalia; Primates; Hylobatidae.